Long non-coding RNA from Musa acuminata AAA Group (dessert banana), 1299 nucleotides. RefSeq lists it as uncharacterized. The transcript has 4 exons. The record is from RefSeq and is a predicted model, not a curated record. Lineage: Eukaryota; Viridiplantae; Streptophyta; Magnoliopsida; Zingiberales; Musaceae.
AAAGCUUUCCCGCUCGUCGUUCACUGGCGAAACAAGCUUUGGAUUCGAAUCCCUCGUCCCCAAAUUCUCCGCGUCUGUCAAUCUAGAAAUCUGCGAACUACCAUGGAAACGUGCGACUUCGGUAGCUGGCAUCCAACCUUACCGGUGAAGUUCUCUCUUCGACAUUCUAUAUCCAUCUCGAGGGAUACUGGAGGAAUCAACACUGUGGGUAGUCUUAGUGGACCACAUAGCAGAGCUGUUAAUCUCUGACAUAGGUGUGGAUCACAUCAUUGAUAACUUUCCACGCUUCGUCUCCCAGUCGUUCAUCCUUAUUGAUUCGGAACCUCGUCGAAAAGCUUUUGCAGUUUAUGGCUUCGAGGAUUGCGGGCGUAACGUGAAGAGAUGGAGAACGACAUAGUUUAUUGUAAUUAUUGGCAUUGGUAUUAGGAUGUACAGUAUGAAUUACCGGUGGCUUGAUCUUGAUGCGAUGCAGGGUAGGGGAUGUGGAGAACACAUAGGGAAUGUAAGACUUAUUCUCACAGAUCGAAGAGGUAGUAAUUAAAUCCCUGGAGAUCUCGAUAUAGAUAUCGAGUGCGUUGCUAAUAAUGAUUUCUCUACGACUGCGUUGGACACACGUGUCGUGUCCGACAGACACAAGAUCCUGCCAUCGCCACUAUGCCGUGACACUUGCACUGCCGAGUGCGGGCCUGCAUGUGGUCCAUGUCUCGUGAUACCCAAUAGAAUAAGAACCUUGGUUACACCGCACCAGAGGAGAUGCGAGGCUUCGUACCAGCUGGUGUGCAGAAAAUUAAAGGUACAUGACCCAAUGAGCUUUUGGGAUAUGGACCUGCUUGUGAUCUAAUUGUCUCUCACUUUCACCUGUAAUUUCGGUUGGUCUGUGAUGUGGUCGAUCCAAUUGUUCAAUCACUCAACGUUAACCUCCAUAUCUGGAUUUGUUUUGGAGCGGCGAGGAAGAUUAUUAUCCAUCAUCGACAAAAGAAUCAUCAAAACAGGGGAAAAGAGGUGCAUCCAUCUCUUUACCCUUGAUGGUGUGCUCACUGACUAGAUUUCUUUCUAGUUUGGCCUGUGAUGAACCUGUAGAUGAAUAUGAACUCGGUCGUGGAUAACAUGUUUUUAAAUAUAUUGGACCAGUAGAGUAGACAGAAGGUAUUUAUUAUUAAUAAAAAAAUAGAAAGCAAACAAUGCAAUCCACAAUCAGGAUAGGAACAGCCAUGAGAGUGACAGGAACAAAGCAGAACCAUUAGAAAGUUACGUUAGAUGUGAGUAAAACUGUUCAUUGUCAUUUGAGUUAUUUCAAUG